UAGGGAAUCUUCCGCAAUGGACGAGAGUCUGACGGAGCAACGCCGCGUGAGUGAAGAAGGUUUUCGGAUCGUAAAGCUCUGUUGCCAGGGAAGAAGAACAAGGAGAGGAACUGCUCCUUGUGUGACGGUACCUGAGAAGAAAGCCCCGGCUAACUACGUGCCAGCAGCCGCGGUAAUACGUAGGGGGCAAGCGUUGUCCGGAAUUAUUGGGCGUAAAGGGCGCGCAGGCGGGAAUGUAAGUUGGGUGUAUAAACCUGAGGCUUAACCUUGGGAGGCAUCCAAAACUGCAAACCUUGAGUGCAGAAGAGGGAAGUGGAAUUCCACGUGUAGCGGUGAAAUGCGUAGAUAUGUGGAGGAACACCAGUGGCGAAGGCGACUUCCUGGGCUGUAACUGACGCUG
This 400-nucleotide ribosomal RNA is filed under the name uncultured bacterium. Its description in RNAcentral is "bacterial SSU rRNA". It matches the Rfam family "Bacterial small subunit ribosomal RNA", at positions 355 to 748 of the family's 1533-position model. The record is from RNAcentral.